GUUGAAACACUGAUUCCCGUACAAUCACUGAAGUUAAGCAACAUGAAGCUUGGGCAGUACCUAGAUAGGUUACCACUUGGGAAUACGAGGUGCU
Non-coding RNA from Acanthosepion pharaonis, 94 nucleotides. The record is from the annotation of a GenBank genome assembly. NCBI's taxonomy places the organism in Eukaryota, Metazoa, Mollusca, Cephalopoda, Sepiida, Sepiidae.